AUUGAACGCUGGCGGCAUGCCUUACACAUGCAAGUCGAACGGUAACAGGUCUUCGGAUGCUGACGAGUGGCGAACGGGUGAGUAAUACAUCGGAACGUGCCUAGUAGUGGGGGAUAACUACUCGAAAGAGUGGCUAAUACCGCAUGAGAUCUACGGAUGAAAGCAGGGGAUCGCAAGACCUUGUGCUACUAGAGCGGCCGAUGGCAGAUUAGGUAGUUGGUGGGAUAAAAGCUUACCAAGCCGACGAUCUGUAGCUGGACUGAGAGGACGAUCAGCCACCCUGGGGCUGAGACACGGCCCAGACUCCAACGGGAGGCAGCAGUGGGGAAUUUUGGACAAUGGGCGAAAGCCUGAUCCAGCAAUGCAGCAUGCAGGAUGAAGGCCUUCGGGUUGUAAACUGCUUUUGUACGGAACGAAAAGCCCCGGGUUAAUACCCUGGGGUCAUGACGGUACCGUAAGAAUAAGCACCGGCUAACUACGUGCCAGCCGCCGCCGUAA
This 498-nucleotide ribosomal RNA is filed under the name uncultured bacterium. RNAcentral's name for it is "partial 16S ribosomal RNA". It matches the Rfam family "Bacterial small subunit ribosomal RNA", at positions 30 to 523 of the family's 1533-position model. The record is from RNAcentral.